This 775-nucleotide ribosomal RNA is filed under the name uncultured bacterium. Its description in RNAcentral is "bacterial SSU rRNA". It matches the Rfam family "Bacterial small subunit ribosomal RNA", at positions 28 to 776 of the family's 1533-position model. The record is from RNAcentral.
GACGAACGCUGGCGGCGUGCCUAAUACAUGCAAGUCGAACGCUUUGAUUUUCACCGGAGCUUGCUCCACCGAAAAUCAAAGAGUGGCGGACGGGUGAGUAACACGUGGGCAACCUGCCCAACAGAGGGGGAUAACACUUGGAAACAGGUGCUAAUACCGCAUAAUUUGUUUUUCCGCAUGGAAGAAUAAUAAAAGACGCUUCGGUGUCACUGUUGGAUGGGCCCGCGCUGCAUUAGUUAGUUGGUGGGGUAACGGCCUACCAAGACCAUGAUGCAUAGCCGACCUGAGAGGGUGAUCGGCCACACUGGGACUGAGACACGGCUCAGACUCCUACGGGAGGCAGCAGUAGGGAAUCUUCGGCAAUGGACGAAAGUCUGACCGAGCAACGCCGCGCGAGUGAAGAAGGUUUUCGGAUCGUAAAACUCUGUUGUUAGAGAAGAACAAGUGAGAGAGUUACUGUUCUCACCUUGACGGUAUCUAACCAGAAAGCCACGGCUAACUACGUGCCAGCAGCCGCGGUAAUACGUAGGUGGCAAGCGUUGUCCGGAUUUAUUGGGCGUAAAGCGAGCGCAGGCGGUUUCUUAAGUCUGAUGUGAAAGCCCUCGGCUCAACCGAGGAAGGUCAUUGGAAACUGGGGAACUUGAGUGCAGAAGAGGAGAGUGGAAUUCCAUGUGUAGCGGUGAAAUGCGUAGAUAUAUGGAGGAACACCAGUGGCGAAGGCGACUCUCUGGUCUGUAACUGACGCUGAGGCUCGAAAGCGUGGGGAGCAAACAGG